UACGUAGGGUGCGAGCGUUGUCCGGAAUGAUUGGGCGUAAAGAGCUCGUAGGCGGUUUGUCACGUCGGAUGUGAAAACCCGAGGCUUAACCUCGGGCCUGCAUUCGAUACGGGCUGACUAGAGUUCGGUAGGGGAGACUGGAAUUCCUGGUGUAGCGGUGAAAUGCGCAGAUAUCAGGAGGAACACCGGUGGCGAAGGCGGAUCUCUGGGCCGUAACUGACGCUGAGGAGCGAAAGCAUGGGGAGCGAACAGG
Molecule: ribosomal RNA, 253 nt
Filed under: uncultured bacterium
Lineage: Bacteria
Description: partial 16S ribosomal RNA
Rfam family: Bacterial small subunit ribosomal RNA
Source: RNAcentral